This 467-nucleotide ribosomal RNA is filed under the name uncultured bacterium. RNAcentral's name for it is "bacterial SSU rRNA". It matches the Rfam family "Bacterial small subunit ribosomal RNA", at positions 38 to 507 of the family's 1533-position model. The record is from RNAcentral.
GGCGGCGUGCCUAACACAUGCAAGUCAACUUGACGGAGAGCAAUCUGACCGUAGAGUGGCGCAAGGGUGCGUAACGCGUAAGUAACUUGCCCAAGGUAAGGAAUAACGUCGAGAAAUCGGCGCUAAUACCUCAUAAUGCAGCGGAUCCGCAUGGAUAUGUUGUUAAAGGUUUACCGCCUUGGGAUAGGCUUGCGUCUGAUUAGCUAGUUGGUGUGGUAACGGCACACCAAGGCUACGAUCAGUAACUGGUCUGAGAGGAUGAUCAGUCACACUGGAACUGAGACACGGUCCAGACUCCUACGGGAGGCAGCAGUGAGGAAUAUUGGGCAAUGCUCGAAAGAGUGACCCAGCAACGCCGCGUGGAGGAUGAAGGUAUUCUAUAUCGUAAACUCCUGUGAGAGCAGACGAAAGACAGAUUAUUAAUCUGGAUGACUGUAUGCUCAGAGGAAGCCCCGGCUAACUACGUG